UUAAGUUAAUAAGGGCGCACGGUGGAUGCCUUGGCACUAGGAGCCGACGAAGGACGUGACAAACGACGAUAUGCCUUGGGUAGCUGUAAGUAAGCGAUGAUCCAGGGAUUUCCGAAUGGGGGAACCCAACAGGUAAUACCUGUUACCCACAUCUGUUAAGGAUGUGAGGAGGAAGACGCAGUGAACUGAAACAUCUAAGUAGCUGCAGGAAGAGAAAGCAAAAGCGAUUGCCUUAGUAGCGGCGAGCGAAACGGCAGAAGGGCAAACCGAAGAGUUUACUCUUCGGGGUUGUAGGACUGCAAUGUGGACUCAAAGAUUAUAGAAGAAUGAUUUGGGAAGAUCAGCCAAAGAGAGUAAUAGCCUCGUAUUUAAAAUAGUCUUUGUACNNNNNNNNNNNNNNNNNNNNNNNNNNNNNNNNNNNNNNNNNNNNNNNNNNNNNNNNNNNNNNNNNNNNNNNNNNNNNNNNNNNNNNNNNNNNNNNNNNNNNNNNNNNNGCCUACAACAAGUUCGAGCCCGUUAAUGGGUGAGAGCGUGCCUUUUGUAGAAUGAACCGGCGAGUUACGUUAUGAUGCGAGGUUAAGUUGAAGAGACGGAGCCGUAGGGAAACCGAGUCUGAAUAGGGCGCCUUAGUAUCAUGACGUAGACCCGAAACCAUGUGACCUACCCAUGAGCAGGUUGAAGGUGCGGUAAGACGCACUGGAGGACCGAACCAGGGCACGUUGAAAAGUGCUUGGAUGACUUGUGGGUAGCGGAGAAAUUCCAAACGAACUUGGAGAUAGCUGGUUCUCUCCGAAAUAGCUUUAGGGCUAGCGUCGACAUUAGAGAUUCUUGGAGGUAGAGCACUGUUUGGGUGAGGGGUCCAUCCCGGAUUACCAAUCUCAGAUAAACUCCGAAUGCCAAUGAAUUAUGGUCGGCAGUCAGACUGCGAGUGCUAAGAUCCGUAGUCGAAAGGGAAACAGCCCAGACCACCAGCUAAGGUCCCAAAAUAAUUGUUAAGUGGAAAAGGAUGUGGGGUUGCACAGACAACUAGGAUGUUAGCUUAGAAGCAGCUAUUCAUUCAAAGAGUGCGUAAUAGCUCACUAGUCGAGUGACCCUGCGCCGAAAAUGUACCGGGGCUAAAACAAUUUACCGAAGCUGUGGAUACCUUUAUAGGUAUGGUAGGAGAGCGUUCUAUGUGUGAUGAAGGUAUACCGUGAGGAGUGCUGGAACGCAUAGAAGUGAGAAUGCCGGUAUGAGUAGCGAAAGACAGGUGAGAAUCCUGUCCACCGUAAGACUAAGGUUUCCAGGGGAAGGCUCGUCCGCCCUGGGUUAGUCGGGACCUAAGGAGAGACCGAAAGGUGUAUCCGAUGGACAACAGGUUGAUAUUCCUGUACUAGAGUAUGUAGUGAUGGAGGGACGCAGUAGGCUAACUAAAGCAGACGAUUGGAAGAGUCUGUCUAAGCAGUGAGGUGUGAAUUGAGUCAAAUGCUUAAUUCUAUAACAUUGAGCUGUGAUGGGGAGCGAAGUUUAGUAGCGAAGUUAGUGACGUCACACUGCCAAGAAAAGCUUCUAGCGUUUAAACAUACUCUACCCGUACCGCAAACCGACACAGGUAGUCGAGGCGAGUAGCCUCAGGUGAGCGAGAGAACUCUCGUUAAGGAACUCGGCAAAAUGACCCCGUAACUUCGGGAGAAGGGGUGCUGACUUAAAGUCAGCCGCAGUGAAUAGGCCCAAGCAACUGUUUAUCAAAAACACAGCUCUCUGCUAAAUCGUAAGAUGAUGUAUAGGGGGUGACGCCUGCCCGGUGCUGGAAGGUUAAGAGGAGUGCUUAGCGUAAGCGAAGGUAUGAAUUGAAGCCCCAGUAAACGGCGGCCGUAACUAUAACGGUCCUAAGGUAGCGAAAUUCCUUGUCGGGUAAGUUCCGACCCGCACGAAAGGCGUAAUGAUUUGGGCACUGUCUCAACGAGAGACUCGGUGAAAUUUUAGUACCUGUGAAGAUGCAGGUUACCCGCGACAGGACGGAAAGACCCCAUGGAGCUUUACUGCAGUUUGAUAUUGAGUGUCUGUACCACAUGUACAGGAUAGGUAGGAGUCUAAGAGAUCGGGACGCCAGUUUCGAAGGAGACGCUGUUGGGAUACUACCCUUGUGUUAUGGCCACUCUAACCCAGAUAGGUGAUCCCUAUCGGAGACAGUGUCUGACGGGCAGUUUGACUGGGGCGGUCGCCUCCUAAAAGGUAACGGAGGCGCCCAAAGGUUCCCUCAGAAUGGUUGGAAAUCAUUCGCAGAGUGUAAAGGUAUAAGGGAGCUUGACUGCGAGAGCUACAACUCGAGCAGGGACGAAAGUCGGGCUUAGUGAUCCGGUGGUUCCGUAUGGAAGGGCCAUCGCUCAACGGAUAAAAGCUACCCUGGGGAUAACAGGCUUAUCUCCCCCAAGAGUUCACAUCGACGGGGAGGUUUGGCACCUCGAUGUCGGCUCGUCGCAUCCUGGGGCUGUAGUCGGUCCCAAGGGUUGGGCUGUUCGCCCAUUAAAGCGGCACGCGAGCUGGGUUCAGAACGUCGUGAGACAGUUCGGUCCCUAUCCGUCGCGGGCGUAGGAAAUUUGAGAGGAUCUGCUCCUAGUACGAGAGGACCAGAGUGGACUUACCGCUGGUGUACCAGUUGUCUUGCCAAAGGCAUCGCUGGGUAGCUAUGUAGGGAAGGGAUAAACGCUGAAAGCAUCUAAGUGUGAAACCCACCUCAAGAUGAGAUUUCCCAUGAUUAUAUAUCAGUAAGAGCCCUGAGAGAUGAUCAGGUAGAUAGGUUAGAAGUGGAAGUGUGGCGACACAUGUAGCGGACUAAUACUAAUAGCUCGAGGACUUAUCCAA
This 2844-nucleotide ribosomal RNA is filed under the name Streptococcus pneumoniae. RNAcentral's name for it is "23S ribosomal RNA". It matches the Rfam family "Bacterial large subunit ribosomal RNA". Lineage: Bacteria; Bacillati; Bacillota; Bacilli; Lactobacillales; Streptococcaceae. The record is from RNAcentral.